Molecule: ribosomal RNA, 489 nt
Filed under: uncultured bacterium
Lineage: Bacteria
Description: partial 16S ribosomal RNA
Rfam family: Bacterial small subunit ribosomal RNA
Source: RNAcentral
UUGAACGCUGGCGGCAGGCCUAACCCAUGCAAGUCGAACGGUAACAGGAAGAAGCUUGCUUCUUUGCUGACGAGUGGCGGACGGGUGAGUAAUGUCUGGGAAACUGCCUGAUGGAGGGGGAUAACUACUGGAAACGGUAGCUAAUACCGCAUAACGUCGCAAGACCAAAGAGGGGGACCUUCGGGCCUCUUGCCAUCGGAUGUGCCCAGAUGGGAUUUGCUAGUAGGUGGGGUAACGGCUCACCUAGGCGACGAUCCCUAGCUGGUCUGAGAGGAUGACCAGCCACACUGGAACUGAGACACGGUCCAGACUCCUACGGGAGGCAGCAGUGGGGAAUAUUGCACAAUGGGCGCAAGCCUGAUGCAGCCAUGCCGCGUGUAUGAAGAAGGCCUUCGGGUUGUAAAGUACUUUCAGCGGGGAGGAAGGGAGUAAAGUUAAUACCUUUGCUCAUUGACGUUACCCGCAGAAGAAGCACCGGCUAACUCCGUG